Non-coding RNA from Triticum aestivum (bread wheat), 135 nucleotides. The record is from Rfam. Lineage: Eukaryota; Viridiplantae; Streptophyta; Magnoliopsida; Poales; Poaceae.
UAGGUACUCCCUCCGUCCGAAAAUACUUGUCAUCAAAAUGGAUAAAAAUGGAUGUAUCUAGAACUAAUAUAUGUCUAUAUACAUCCAUUUUUAUUCAUUUUGAUGACAAGUAUUUCCGGACGGAGGGAGUACAUU